This 329-nucleotide unclassified non-coding RNA is filed under the name soil metagenome. Its description in RNAcentral is "partial contains 5.8S ribosomal RNA, internal transcribed spacer 2, and large subunit ribosomal RNA". The stretch from base 1 to 120 matches the Rfam family "5.8S ribosomal RNA", at positions 35 to 154 of the family's 154-position model. The record is from RNAcentral.
GAUGAAGAACGUAGCGAAAUGCGAUAAGUAAUGUGAAUUGCAGAAUUCAGUGAAUCAUCGAAUCUUUGAACGCACAUUGUGCCCCCUGGUAUUCCGGGGGGCAUGCCUGUCCGAGCGUCAUUACAACCCUCAAGCUCAGCUUGGUGUUGGGCCCCGCCGCCCCGGCGGGCCCUAAAGUCAGUGGCGGUGCCGCCCGGCUCCGAGCGUAGUAAUUCUUCUCGCUCUGGAGGUCCGGUCGUGUGCUCGCCAGCAACCCCCAAUUUUUUUCAGGUUGACCUCGGAUCAGGUAGGGAUACCCGCUGAACUUAAGCAUAUCAAUAAGCGGAGGA